This 761-nucleotide ribosomal RNA is filed under the name uncultured Arthrospira sp. RNAcentral describes it as "bacterial SSU rRNA". It matches the Rfam family "Bacterial small subunit ribosomal RNA", at positions 723 to 1482 of the family's 1533-position model. Lineage: Bacteria; Bacillati; Cyanobacteriota; Cyanophyceae; Oscillatoriales; Microcoleaceae. The record is from RNAcentral.
GCUCUGCUGGGCCGUAACUGACACUGAGGGACGAAAGCUAGGGGAGCGAAUGGGAUUAGAUACCCCAGUAGUCCUAGCCGUAAACGAUGGAAACUAGGUGUAGCCUGUAUCGACCCGGGCUGUGCCGAAGCUAACGCGUUAAGUUUCCCGCCUGGGGAGUACGCACGCAAGUGUGAAACUCAAAGGAAUUGACGGGGGCCCGCACAAGCGGUGGAGUAUGUGGUUUAAUUCGAUGCAACGCGAAGAACCUUACCAGGGCUUGACAUGUCCGGAAUCUUGGUGAAAGCCGAGAGUGCCUUCGGGAGCCGGAAUACAGGUGGUGCAUGGCUGUCGUCAGCUCGUGUCGUGAGAUGUUGGGUUAAGUCCCGCAACGAGCGCAACCCUCGUCCUUAGUUGCCAUCAUUCAGUUGGGCACUUUAGGGAGACUGCCGGUGACAAACCGGAGGAAGGUGGGGAUGACGUCAAGUCAUCAUGCCCCUUACGUCCUGGGCUACACACGUACUACAAUGGGGGGGACAAAGGGUAGCCAAGACGCGAGUCUGAGCCAAUCCCGUAAACCUCUCCUCAGUUCAGAUUGCAGGCUGCAACUCGCCUGCAUGAAGGAGGAAUCGCUAGUAAUCGCAGGUCAGCAUACUGCGGUGAAUCCGUUCCCGGGCCUUGUACACACCGCCCGUCACACCAUGGAAGUUAGCCACGCCCGAAGUCGUUACUCUAACCGUUCGCGGAGGAGGAUGCCGAAGGCAGGGCUGAUGACUGGGGUG